RNAcentral lists this ribosomal RNA (228 nucleotides) under uncultured bacterium. RNAcentral describes it as "partial 16S ribosomal RNA". It matches the Rfam family "Bacterial small subunit ribosomal RNA", at positions 15 to 225 of the family's 1533-position model. The record is from RNAcentral.
GAUCAUGGCUCAGGACGAACGCUGGCGGCGUGCUUAACGCAUGCAAGUCGAACGGAGCACCCUUGAAUGAGACUUCGGUCAAAGGAAAGGAAUGCUUAGUGGCGGACUGGUGAGUAACGCGUGAGGAACCUGCCUUUCAGAGGGGGACAACAGCUGGAAACGGCUGCUAAUACCGCAUGACGCAUUCGGAUGGCAUCAUCUGAAUGCCAAAGAUUUAUCACUGAAAGA